UACUCUUGACAUCCAGAGAAGCCAGCGGAGACGCAGGUGUGCCUUCGGGAGCUCUGAGACAGGUGCUGCAUGGCUGUCGUCAGCUCGUGUUGUGAAAUGUUGGGUUAAGUCCCGCAACGAGCGCAACCCUUAUCCUUGUUUGCCAGCGAGUCAUGUCGGGAACUCCAGGGAGACUGCCGGUGAUAAACCGGAGGAAGGUGGGGACGACGUCAAGUCAUCAUGGCCCUUACGAGUAGGGCUACACACGUGCUACAAUGGCGCAUACAGAGGGCAGCAAGCUAGCGAUAGUGAGCGAAUCCCAAAAAGUGCGUCGUAGUCCGGAUUGGAGUCUGCAACUCGACUCCAUGAAGUCGGAAUCGCUAGUAAUCGUGAAUCAGAAUGUCACGGUGAAUACGUUCCCGGGCC
This 405-nucleotide ribosomal RNA is filed under the name uncultured bacterium. RNAcentral describes it as "bacterial SSU rRNA". It matches the Rfam family "Bacterial small subunit ribosomal RNA", at positions 976 to 1380 of the family's 1533-position model. The record is from RNAcentral.